RNAcentral lists this ribosomal RNA (492 nucleotides) under uncultured bacterium. Its description in RNAcentral is "partial 16S ribosomal RNA". It matches the Rfam family "Bacterial small subunit ribosomal RNA", at positions 29 to 507 of the family's 1533-position model. The record is from RNAcentral.
AUUGAACGCUGGCGGCAUGCUUUACACAUGCAAGUCGAACGGUAACAGGCCUUCGGGUGCUGACGAGUGGCGCACGGGUGAGUAAUGCAUCGGAACGUACCCAGAGGUGGGGGAUAACGCAGCGAAAGCUGUGCUAAUACCGCAUGUGAUCUGAGGAUGAAAGCGGGGGACCGAGCAGCAAUGUUUGGCCUCGCGCCUUUGGAGCGGCCGAUGUCGGAUUAGCUAGUUGGUGGGGUAAAGGCCUACCAAGGCGACGAUCCGUAGCUGGUCUGAGAGGACGACCAGCCACACUGGGACUGAGACACGGCCCAGACUCCUACGGGAGGCAGCAGUGGGGAAUUUUGGACAAUGGGCGCAAGCCUGAACCAGCAAUGCCGCGUGCGGGAAGAAGGCCUUCGGGUUGUAAACCGCUUUUGGCAGGAACGAAACGGUGUCCGCUAAUACCGGGCGCUAAUGACGGUACCUGCAGAAUAAGCACCGGCUAACUACGUG